AUGGGCGGAGGAUCUCGUGGAGGCAGUAUAUGUGAACUAGAUGAUUUUUUUGGGCAACUUGACCUAACAGAGGAAGAAUUCGAUGAUCUGGUCAUUGAUGAGGAAAUUCCAGAGAUCAAAGAACGCGUCCGCUGGAUGGCUCUUGCUCGUGUUCAUACCAACAAAAGUUUCAGCCAAGCGGCGUUCUUCAAGGAGAUGCGGGCAGCCUGGAACACGGCGCAGCAGGUGAGAUUCAGGCCGGUUGGGGCCAACCUGUUCGUUGUGCAAGCAUCAUGUAUGGGAGAUUGGGAGCGUAUUAUGCAUCAGGGUCCGUGGUUGUUCAGAUUUUGGGCCGUGCUGCUGCAUCCAUAUGAUGGCCUUAGCCGAGCUGAGGAUACAUAG
RNAcentral lists this ribosomal RNA (381 nucleotides) under Triticum aestivum (bread wheat). RNAcentral describes it as "partial small subunit ribosomal RNA". Lineage: Eukaryota; Viridiplantae; Streptophyta; Magnoliopsida; Poales; Poaceae. The record is from RNAcentral.